GUCGCUGAAGUCGCCGUUGGAGUUGCUGCUGCUUCGCCGAAGUCGCUGCUGCUUCGCCGAGUCGCUGCUGCUUCGCCGAGUCGCGGUUGCUGCCUGGAACUGCUGCCGCUCGCCGCCUGCGGCUGGAACCGCUGCUGCUGCUCGCCCGCCAACUGCUGCUCGCCGCCUGACGGAGGCAACUGCUGCCUGAGCACCGAGCCGCUGCUGUAGGGAGGCCGGCGAACAGCCGGGUGUUCGCCGUUUCCAGUUCUUCUCCGAGUUCCGAAGCCGGUGAGAGCUCCAUCAUCGCGUCGUCUCGUUCGUCUCUCGGUUCAGGCGAAGUCGUGGAGCAACAAGGCGAGCUUCUCGCCUGAACCCACCGCCAAGCACCGAGUCGCUGCUGCUCGUCGUCUCUUGAUCAGCCUGAACAGGCCGCGUCCCUUCCUCCUAAAGCUAAGUGGAAUAAGGGAAGAAGGUGGAGCAUUGAAGACAAGCUUACCUUGAGAAUACUUGGUAGGAUGAAUUAAAGGCUCACUUCUCCUUGUGCAGUCCUCAAAUGAAGAAUGAAGAGAAUGCAACAAUGUUGGCUGUUUUGAAUGACGAGGUGGUUUGGCUGGGAGCUUGUAUACUUAGGUGUACUUGGGCAUGGCAGCCUGCUGCAUAGGCGUGGGAAAAGAAAAGGUGCAGCAAGCUCAAGAGGGGAUAGGGGAGUGUGCAGCACAUGUCUCCACCCCCUUUCUCUUUUUCCCAUUUUCUUGAACUUAGGGGGGGUGGCAGAGUACUGUAGCAACACUGUUGAGUACUGUAGCAAUAACUAUUGAGUACUGUAGCGGCACUGUAGCAACGACUGUUUGAGUACUGUAGCGGUACUGAUUGUUUUGUGUCUACAAUAAAUCUUUCAUUGGUUCUGUAUUAGAAA
Long non-coding RNA from Salvia miltiorrhiza (redroot sage), 898 nucleotides. RefSeq lists it as uncharacterized. The record is from RefSeq and is a predicted model, not a curated record. NCBI's taxonomy places the organism in Eukaryota, Viridiplantae, Streptophyta, Magnoliopsida, Lamiales, Lamiaceae. The transcript has 2 exons.